RNAcentral lists this ribosomal RNA (511 nucleotides) under Thalassospira sp. Its description in RNAcentral is "bacterial SSU rRNA". It matches the Rfam family "Bacterial small subunit ribosomal RNA", at positions 33 to 584 of the family's 1533-position model. The record is from RNAcentral. Lineage: Bacteria; Pseudomonadati; Pseudomonadota; Alphaproteobacteria; Rhodospirillales; Thalassospiraceae.
GUGUAAUGCGGCAGCUACCAUGCAGUCGUACGAGAAGGUUCUUUCGGGAACUGGAGAGUGGCGCACGGGUGAGUAACGCGUGGGGACCUACCUCUUAGUGGGGGAUAACGGUUGGAAACGACCGCUAAUACCGCAUACGCCCUUCGGGGGAAAGAUUUAUCGCUAAGAGAUGGACCCGCGUUGGAUUAGAUAGUUGGUGAGGUAACGGCUCACCAAGUCAGCGAUCCAUAGCUGGUUUGAGAGGAUGAUCAGCCACACUGGGACUGAGACACGGCCCAGACUCCUACGGGAGGCAGCAGUGGGGAAUAUUGGACAAUGGGCGCAAGCCUGAUCCAGCCAUGCCGCGUGAGUGAAGAAGGCCUUCGGGUUGUAAAGCUCUUUCAGAUGCGAAGAUGAUGACGGUAACAUCAGAAGAAGCCCCGGCUAAUUUCGUGCCAGCAGCCGCGGUAAUACGAAAGGGGCAAGCGUUGUUCGGAUUUACUGGGCGUAAAGGGCACGCAGGCGGUCCUGC